CUACGGGGCGCUGCAGUGAGGAAUAUUGCGCAAUGGACGAAAGUCUGACGCAGCCAUGCCGCGUGCAGGAUGACGGCGCUAUGCGUUGUAAACUGCUUUUAUAGGCCAAGAAACCUUCGGACGUGUCCGAAGCUGACGGUAGCAUAUGAAUAAGCACCGGCUAACUCCGUGCCAGCGGCCGCGGUAAUACGGAGGGUGCAAGCGUUAUCCGGGUUUAUUGGGUUUAAAGGGUCCGUAGGCGGAUCAUUAAGUCAGUGUUGAAAGCCGGCAGCUCAACUGUCGAACUGCCAUUGAUACUGGUGAUCUUGAAUACGGUUGAAGUUGGCGGAAUAGGUCAUGUAGCGGUGAAAUGCUUAGAUAUGACCUAGAACACCGAUUGCGAAGGCAGCCAACUAAGCCGUUAUUGACGCUGAGGGACGAAAGCGUGGGGAGCGAACAGGAUUAGAUACCCCCGUAGUC
RNAcentral lists this ribosomal RNA (459 nucleotides) under uncultured bacterium. Its description in RNAcentral is "partial 16S ribosomal RNA". It matches the Rfam family "Bacterial small subunit ribosomal RNA", at positions 339 to 795 of the family's 1533-position model. The record is from RNAcentral.